UCAGCGGUCAUGGAGAGUCUCCAUCCAGCUGGAUCACUGUCACAGAGAAACCGACCACCACACCUCCACCUACAUCUACACCUCCACCUACAUCCACACCUCCUCCUGGUUGCACCUCUUGUCAUCCAUCACCCUCCCCGCCUGUUGUCUCUGUGUUGUCAUUCAUUUUAACAGUCUGUGUUGCAGCUCUACUUAUUUUACUGGUUCUGUUGGUGAAACUUUGUGGUGUUAGAAAACCUGAAGGCGACACUCGGACGUCUGGAUUUGUUUCAGCCAAUAAAGAAGAAGCUAUAGAAGACAACCCCAUCAGUGACGUCUCAUAUGACAUCGUACAGAGCAGAGGGAUAAAUCGGGCUGCACUCUACUCAACAGUGAGGAAAAAAAACACCACUUAUUCACAAAUCGUGAAAGACAAGAGAAACAAAUCAAAGCCAACAGAGUUUCCAUCAGAGCCAGAUGUCAAACAACUGGAAUCCAGCUGCAGAUCUAGAAUUGGUCCACCCAGCACCCCAGACCUGAUGACAAUUACUUGUAUAACUGACUGAUAUAUAUAUUUUGUUCUUUUUGUGAAGUUACAUUCACACAGCUAUUGGGAGACAAGAAAAACAAUUCAAACAGUGACAAGAUUUUUCAUAAAAAACUUGGUAAAUCUAAAACCUAAAAGACUAAGAUGAAAAGCAAUAACAAUAAUUUUCUUUAUCACCACAGCAAUGGUGUGGUUUCUCUGCAGGAUCAAUUAAUUUUGGUCUCAUUUCAUGUUCUUCCCAUGUGGUUCUGUGGGUUUUACAAAGACCUGCGAUUAACAAUGUGAGGUGUUGUGGCUAACAAUUACACACUUCUCUUCAGAGCAGAAAAAGAACAAACAAGCAUAAUUUCGCCUCAACCAGACUAUAAACAGCACGAACAUUUUUCAGCAGGUUGACACUGCAUAGAAAAUAUUCAGAACAAACUGUACCUGUGUGUGUUUUUAGCUUUUGAUUCAAGGAAAUUAAGUCAGUGAGACUUUACUUCAGAUGUUUCUUAAAGUAAGGAUUCCUCCAUAUUAUUCUAUUCAACUUCAGCUACACAUAUAUCUGUUAGCGUGUUGUAGAUUAGGUUGUGUUUGGCACUCAUAGAUGUUUUAAACUUCUGUAUCCAAUUGCUUUGCUUCUACUCGGCUCACAGCUUAUUGCUAUUCUAUCUGUUUUAUCACAGAAAAAGUUAAAUAUUAAAUAUUUUGUGAGGAUAACAAAUUCUCACACAAGUCAUGUUUUUGAUGCAGUAAAAAGUACUGUUUUUGAUUGUGAUAUUUGCCUGUAAGUUUUCAGUAAUUUUG
Oreochromis niloticus (Nile tilapia) is the source of this 1315-nucleotide long non-coding RNA. RefSeq lists it as uncharacterized. NCBI's taxonomy places the organism in Eukaryota, Metazoa, Chordata, Actinopteri, Cichliformes, Cichlidae. The transcript is spliced from 5 exons. The record is from RefSeq and is a predicted model, not a curated record.